Molecule: long non-coding RNA, 757 nt
Organism: Pseudophryne corroboree (corroboree frog)
Lineage: Eukaryota; Metazoa; Chordata; Amphibia; Anura; Myobatrachidae
Exons: 3
Source: RefSeq, a predicted model, not a curated record
CUGUUGCCUGAAGCCACACCCCUGGGCCGUUCUAAGCCCCGCCCACUGGACAAUACACUGCAGUGCAGUGCUCCCCGCCUGGGUCAUCUGUGAGGUGUUCUGCAGCUGCGGUUUGAGAAAUGGAGUCCCGACUGAAAAGAUCAUCUUGUGUGGGCAGGCCAUUGGGACGGCAGCUGCAGUGGACCUUGCCAGCCGCUACAAAUGUGCUGCAGUAAUCCUACACUCGCGGGUUUUCUGUCCUAACAUACGGAGGACCUGCUGCUGUGACCCCUUUCCCAGCCUCCCAGGAAUAGACUCACAUAUCAAUACAAGGGCAGGUUCUUGCUAUCUCUUCAGGCUGUUACCAUGGAUACCAGGAGAAUUCUGUAAUGUCUCAAUAUAGAAUAUAUUACAUAUUUGUGUUACCCAUCAUUGUACCGUGCUCUGGAAUGUGCUGUUUUAUAAACAACAAUAUAUUAUUAUAAGAAUUAACUUUUAUCGGACGCGCAUGGCUUUACCCCCCCCCCCCCUCCCCCUCCUUAUUUUCUUUUUUUCUCUCCUCUUCUUUACCCCCUUUACCCCCUCUCCCUCCUCUUUCUUUGCUUCCUGUAAUUUCCAUCUGAUUAGAUUUUAAAUUGCAAUCAUCUAUUGUAUACUGAUAAAUUAUAACAAAAAAUCAACAAGAGACUGUAAUAGUUCAACAUGAUUUUUUUUUUUUUAUUGAUCUCUGAUGUCAAUGAUAUACUUUUACAGCAAAAAAUCGCUAUGUAUAUCUGUG